AACGCACAUUGCGCCCUUUGGUAUUCCGAAGGGCAUGCCUGUUCGAGCGUCAUUAUCACCCCUCAAGCUUGGGCUUGUCGUUGAACCCCCAGGUCCGUCAGACGACCGGUUCGAAAGAUAGUGACGGUUGCCUAUAUGACCCUCGGUGCAAUGAGCUCUCACCAGCACGCGCCGUCCGCGGUCUGAUAGCCCGGUCUCUCCUUUUAUUUUUUUACAAGGUUGACCUCGGAUCAGGUAGGAAUACCCGCUGAACUUAA
RNAcentral lists this unclassified non-coding RNA (257 nucleotides) under uncultured Ascomycota. Its description in RNAcentral is "sequence contains ITS2". The stretch from base 1 to 52 matches the Rfam family "5.8S ribosomal RNA", at positions 103 to 154 of the family's 154-position model. The record is from RNAcentral. Lineage: Eukaryota; Fungi; Ascomycota.